RNAcentral lists this ribosomal RNA (433 nucleotides) under uncultured bacterium. RNAcentral describes it as "partial 16S ribosomal RNA". It matches the Rfam family "Bacterial small subunit ribosomal RNA", at positions 29 to 507 of the family's 1533-position model. The record is from RNAcentral.
AGCGAACGCUGGCGGCAGGCUUAACACAUGCAAGUCGAGCGGGCACUUCGGUGUCAGCGGCAGACGGGUGAGUAACACGUGGGAACGUACCCUUCGGUUCGGAAUAACGCUGGGAAACUAGCGCUAAUACCGGAUACGCCCUUUUGGGGAAAGGUUUACUGCCGAAGGAUCGGCCCGCGUCUGAUUAGCUAGUUGGUGGGGUAAUGGCCUACCAAGGCGACGAUCAGCAGCUGGUCUGAGAGGAUGAUCAGCCACACUGGGACUGAGACACGGCCCAGACUCCUACGGGAGGCAGCAGUGGGGAAUAUUGGACAAUGGGCGCAAGCCUGAUCCAGCCAUGCCGCGUGAGUGAUGAAGGCCUUAGGGUUGUAAAGCUCUUUUGUCCGGGACGAUAAUGACGGUACCGGAAGAAUAAGCCCCGGCUAACUUCGUG